Molecule: ribosomal RNA, 415 nt
Filed under: uncultured prokaryote
Description: bacterial SSU rRNA
Rfam family: Bacterial small subunit ribosomal RNA
Source: RNAcentral
GUGUCAGCAGCCGCGGUAAUACGUAGGAGACGAGCGUUAUCCGGAUUUACUGGGCGUAAAGAGGGCGUAGGCGGUCUUUCAAGUCGGAUGUGAAAUCUCCCGGCUUAACUGGGAGGGGUCAUUCGAUACUGUUGGGCUAGAGGGCAGCAGAGGGAGGUGGAAUUCCCGGUGUAGUGGUGAAAUGCGUAGAUAUCGGGAGGAACACCAGUGGCGAAGGCGGCCUCCUGGGCUGUUUCUGACGCUGAGGCCCAAAAGCGUGGGGAGCGAACAGGAUUAGAUACCCUGGUAGUCCACGCUGUAAACUAUGGACACUAGGUAUGGGGAGUAUCGACCCUCUCCGUGCCGAAGCUAACGCUUUAAGUGUCCCGCCUGGGGACUACGGCCGCAAGGCUAAAACUCAAAGGAAUUGGCGGGG